UAUGUGGGCUUAACACCGGGCGACUC
This 26-nucleotide non-coding RNA is filed under the name Cricetulus griseus (Chinese hamster). Lineage: Eukaryota; Metazoa; Chordata; Mammalia; Rodentia; Cricetidae. The record is from RNAcentral.